CGUCGACCGGCGCACGGGUGAGUAACGCGUAUCCAACCUGCCCAUAACUAAGGGAUAAUCCGUAGAAAUGCGGUCUAAUACCUUAUGUGAUCCGAGGAAGACAUCUGAUUUGGAUUAAAGAUUUAUCGGUUAUGGAUGGGGAUGCGUCUGAUUAGAUUGUUGGCGGGGCAACGGCCCACCAAGUCUGCGAUCAGUAGGGGUUCUGAGAGGAAGGUCCCCCACAUUGGAACUGAGACACGGUCCAAACUCCUACGGGAGGCAGCAGUGAGGAAUAUUGGUCAAUGGGCGGGAGCCUGAACCAGCCAAGUAGCGUGCAGGAUGACGGCCCUAUGGGUUGUAAACUGCUUUUGUAUGGGGAUAAAGUGCUCCACGUGUGGAGUUUUGCAGGUACCAUACGAAUAAGGACCGGCUAAUUCCGUGCCAGCAGCCGCGGUAAUACGGAAGGUCCGGGCGUUAUCCGGAUUUAUUGGGUUUAAAGGGAGCGUAGGCCGUGGAUUAAGUGUGUUGUGAAAUGUAGGCGCUCAACGUCUGACUUGCAGCGCAUACUGGUCCACUUGAGUGCGCACAACGCGGGCGGAAUUUGUCGUGUAGCGGUGAAAUGCUUAGAUAUGACGAAGAACCCCGAUUGCGAAGGCAGCUCGCGGGAGCGCAACUGACGCUGAAGCUCGAAAGUGCGGGUAUCGAACAGGAUUAGAUACCCUGGUAGUCCGCACGGUAAACGAUGGAUGCCCGCUUUUCGGUCAUUAGACCGUGAGGCCAAGUGAAAACAUUAAGCAUCCCACCUGGGGGAGUACGCCGGC
Molecule: ribosomal RNA, 800 nt
Filed under: uncultured rumen bacterium
Lineage: Bacteria
Description: bacterial SSU rRNA
Rfam family: Bacterial small subunit ribosomal RNA
Source: RNAcentral